CGGGCUGUGGCGCAGCUUGGUAGCGCGCUUCCUUGGGGUGGAAGAGGUCGCAGGUUCAAAUCCUGUCAGCCCGACCAGAU
This 80-nucleotide transfer RNA is filed under the name Symbiobacterium thermophilum IAM 14863. RNAcentral's name for it is "tRNA-Pro". It matches the Rfam family "tRNA". Rfam says of the family: Transfer RNA (tRNA) molecules are approximately 80 nucleotides in length. The record is from RNAcentral. Lineage: Bacteria; Bacillati; Bacillota; Clostridia; Eubacteriales; Symbiobacteriaceae.